Haliotis rubra (blacklip abalone) is the source of this 257-nucleotide long non-coding RNA. RefSeq lists it as uncharacterized. The record is from RefSeq and is a predicted model, not a curated record. NCBI's taxonomy places the organism in Eukaryota, Metazoa, Mollusca, Gastropoda, Lepetellida, Haliotidae. The transcript is spliced from 3 exons.
CUGUGGGGUCCUCCAACACAAUGUGACUCUCAGGAUCAACGCUACUAUUGACAAGGGGACAGAGUGGUGGUGUAAGGAUACAGUGAAGAGCGAGACAAGCAACCAUAUAACAUUACUUUCUGCGAAGUCUGGACGACAUGCUGAUCUAUCAAGACUUACAGACAGCGAUGCUAAAGACAACGGCUCGGGAAGCAGGACUGUUAUUUACAUAGCUGCAGGGUCCGCCUGUGCAGUUGUAGUAAUCAUCGUUGUAGUCG